GCCAAAAGCCUAGCCUAACAACCAUGAAUUCUACCAAAUCAAUUAACCUGCACAAAUAAAGCAUUUUUACAUUAUAGUAGAGGCGAUUGAAAAAUUUUUAUAGAGCUACAACAAGAGUACCGUAAGGGAAUGGUGAAAUAUAUAAUGAAAACUUAAAGCAACAGAAAGUAAAGAUUACCCCUUGUACCUUUUGCAUCAUGAUUUAACAAGUUUAACCAAGCAAAACGCAUUUAAGUUUGACUUCCCGAAACUAAGUGAGCUACUUCGGGGCAGCCAAAUAGGGCAAACCCGUCUCUGUUGCAAAAGAGUGGGAUGACCCCAAAGUAGCGGUGACAGACCUAACGAACUUAGUGAUAGCUGGUUACUCAAGAAGCGGAUCUUAGUCCAACCUGAAGCACUUUAAGUAUUUCAAAACAAUCAUCAAGCCUUCAGAGUAAUUCAAAUAAGGUACAGCCUAUUUGAAGCAGGAGACAACCUUUACCAACGGAUAAGACCAGCUACACCGACAACCAAGUUGGCCUAAAAGCAGCCACCUUUUAAACAGCGUCGAAGCUUUAUUGUCUUUAUGCUUAAUCCCCAUAUUUUUAUCUUAAUCCUCCAUCAACAUUGAGUAAUUCUAUAAUAUUAUAGAAAGUUUUAUGUUAAAAUUAGUAACAAGAAGAAGACCCUUCUCUUCAAUGUAAGUGUAAAUCAGAAAGGACAAACCACUGAUACUUAACACCUAUGAGCUUGAAAGUAAAAACAAAUCAAGAAAACUCUACUUUUAUUUAUGUUAACCUAACACAAGAACAUUUUAAGAAAGAUUAAAAAAAAAAGAAGGAACUCGGCAAACCCUAGCCUCGCCCUGUUUACCAAAAACAUCGCCUCUUGAACUAACCAUAGGAGGUCCAGCCUGCCCAGUGACUCUGUUCAACGGCCGCGGUAUCCUAACCGUGCGAAGGUAGCGUAAUCACUUGUUCUUUAAAUGAGGACUAGUAUGAAUGGCACCACGAGGGCUACACUGUCUCCUUUUUUUAAUCAGUGAACUUAAUCUUCCCGUGAAGAAGCGGGAAUAAACCUAUAAGACGAGAAGACCCUAUGGAGCUUAAAACAACAUAGCACUUGCCACAUAACACAAAAAUUUCUGAAUACCCUAAUUUUUCAAAGCAACAUGACUAUAAGUUGGUGGUUGGGGUGACCGCGGAGCAUAACACAACCUCCACGUUGAACGAACUUUAUUCUAAUGCCACGAACCACUCUCCUAAGCAUCAAUACAUUGACAUUAAUUGACCCAAUAUAUUUGACCAACGAACCAAGUUACCCUAGGGAUAACAGCGCAAUCCACUUCAAGAGCCCCUAUCGACAAGUGGGUUUACGACCUCGAUGUUGGAUCAGGGUCUCCCAGUGGUGCAGCCGCUGCUAAAGGUUCG
This 1409-nucleotide ribosomal RNA is filed under the name Rhaebo guttatus (smooth-sided toad). RNAcentral describes it as "partial 16S ribosomal RNA". It matches the Rfam family "Bacterial large subunit ribosomal RNA", at positions 23 to 2575 of the family's 2925-position model. The record is from RNAcentral. Lineage: Eukaryota; Metazoa; Chordata; Amphibia; Anura; Bufonidae.